UACAACCGGAGACAAAUUUUCCAAUCCAAAUGAUAGGCUGCAAGUAUAUUUAUUCACUCAAAUGUGUACAUUCUGUCCAUAAAAUACUAUGUACAAGAGUUGUACAGAAAUGAUACAUGUUACAACAUACAGAUGCAUUAUAUUUGACUGAGACCAAACUAUUAUACAGAGGGACUGAGUACUUUUCCUGGAAAGAUUUUUUCUUUGAGGCUUCAAAAAUCCCCAGUAUAGCGCACGGCCUUCUCAAUAAAUACAUACAUAAAGAACACAGAUUUAACAGAUGCAUUAUAUUUGACUGAGACCAAAACUAUUAUACAGAGGGACUGAGUACUUUUCCUGGAAAGAUUUUUUCUUUGAGGCUUCAAAAAUCCCCAGUAUAGCGCACGGCCUUCUCAAUAAAUACA
RNAcentral lists this long non-coding RNA (404 nucleotides) under Solanum tuberosum (potato). Its description in RNAcentral is "long non-coding RNA (STUB_LNC011936)". The record is from RNAcentral. Lineage: Eukaryota; Viridiplantae; Streptophyta; Magnoliopsida; Solanales; Solanaceae.